Molecule: ribosomal RNA, 218 nt
Filed under: uncultured bacterium
Lineage: Bacteria
Description: partial 16S ribosomal RNA
Rfam family: Bacterial small subunit ribosomal RNA
Source: RNAcentral
CAGUCACAGUUCGGAUUGAAGGCUGAAAUUCGCCUUCAUGAAGCUGGAAUUGCUAGUAAUGGCAGGUCAGCAUACUGCCGUGAAUACGUUCCCGGGCCUUGUACACACCGCCCGUCACACCAUGAGAGUUGGGAAUACCCGAAGCCUGUGAGCUAACUGUAAGGAGGCAGCAGUCGAAGGUAGAAUCAAUGAUUGGGGUGAAGUCGUAACAAGGUAGC